CCUACGGGUGGCAGCAGUAGGGAAUAUUGCUCAAUGGGGGAAACCCUGAAGCAGCAACGCCGCGUGGAGGAUGAAGGUUUUAGGAUUGUAAACUCCUGUUGUUAGAGAAGAUUGUGACGGUAGCUAACGAAUAAGCACCGGCUAACUCCGUGCCAGCAGCCGCGGGAAUACGGAGGGUGCAAGCGUUAAUCGGAAUCACUGGGCGUAAAGAGUGCGUAGGCGGGGUGAUAAGUCAGAUGUGAAAUCCUGUUGCUUAACUACAGAACUGCCUUUGAAACUGUUAAUCUGGAGUGUGGGUGAGGUAGGUGGAAUUCUAGGUGUAGGGGUAAAAUCCGUAGAGAUCAAGAGGAAUA
RNAcentral lists this ribosomal RNA (353 nucleotides) under uncultured bacterium. RNAcentral describes it as "partial 16S ribosomal RNA". It matches the Rfam family "Bacterial small subunit ribosomal RNA", at positions 338 to 708 of the family's 1533-position model. The record is from RNAcentral.